CCUACGGGAGGCAGCAGUGGGGGAUAUUGCACAAUGGGGGAAACCCUGAUGCAGCGACGCCGCGUGUGGGAAGACGGUCUUCUGGAUUGUAAACCACUGUCCCCAGGGACGAAAAUGACGGUACCUGGGGCGGAAGCUCCGGCUAACUACGUGCCAGCAGCCGCGGUAAUACGUAGGGAGCAAGCGUUGUCCGGAAUUACUGGGUGUAAAGGGAGCGUAGGCGGGGAUGCAAGUUGGGUGUCAAAACUACCGGCUCAACCGAUAGUCGCACUCAAAACUGCAACUCUUGAGUGAAGUAGAGGCAGGCGGAAUUCCUAGUGUAGCGGUGAAAUGCGUAGAUAUUAGGAGGAACACCAGUGGCGAAGGCGGCCUGCUGGGCUUUGACUGACGCUGAGGCUCGAAAGUGUGGGGAGCAAACAGGAUUAGAUACCCGAGUAGUC
This 440-nucleotide ribosomal RNA is filed under the name uncultured bacterium. RNAcentral describes it as "partial 16S ribosomal RNA". It matches the Rfam family "Bacterial small subunit ribosomal RNA", at positions 338 to 795 of the family's 1533-position model. The record is from RNAcentral.